Molecule: non-coding RNA, 78 nt
Organism: Corynebacterium glucuronolyticum ATCC 51866
Lineage: Bacteria; Bacillati; Actinomycetota; Actinomycetes; Mycobacteriales; Corynebacteriaceae
Source: Rfam
CGGCCCCGGUUCGCCCCCCGAGACCGGGUUACUCUGACGGCCCGCAUCCAUCCCCCCCCGAGAUGCGGGCCGUCCUAU